UGAAUGAUAUAAAAACUCCUCGUUUAUACCCAGCAUAUAGUAUUGUACAAAUGUUUCAUGGCACAACAGUCCGAAGCGAUUCUGACGUGCAAAUUGAUCGUUGACUUUGAUAUAGGGGCGAAAGACUAAUCGAACUAUCUAGUAGUUGGUUCCCUCUGAAGUUUCCUUCAGGAUAGCUGAAGUACGUAAUGAAGCUGUUAUAUUCGGUAAAGCGAAUGAUCAGAGGAAUUGUGGGGAGAAACGUCUUCAACCCAUUCUCAAACUUUCGAUGAGUAUGACGUCUUGCUUGCUUGAAUGAAGC
Molecule: non-coding RNA, 301 nt
Filed under: Onchocerca ochengi
Lineage: Eukaryota; Metazoa; Nematoda; Chromadorea; Rhabditida; Onchocercidae
Description: Eukaryotic large subunit ribosomal RNA
Rfam family: Eukaryotic large subunit ribosomal RNA
Source: Rfam by way of RNAcentral